Molecule: ribosomal RNA, 660 nt
Filed under: uncultured bacterium
Lineage: Bacteria
Description: bacterial SSU rRNA
Rfam family: Bacterial small subunit ribosomal RNA
Source: RNAcentral
GCCUAUACAUGCAGUCGAACGGUUGGUAGCAAUACCAAUAGUGGCGCACGGGUGCGUAACGCGUAACCAACCUACCCGAAUCUGGGGGAUAGCCCGCCGAAAGGCGGAUUAAUACCGCAUAAAACUGCAGCCUGGCAUCAGGUAACAGUUAAAGAUUUAUUGGAUUCGGAUGGGGUUGCGUGCCAUUAGCUAGUUGGCGGGGUAACGGCCCACCAAGGCGACGAUGGCUAGGGGAGCUGAGAGGCUGGUCCCCCACACGGGCACUGAGAUACGGGCCCGACUCCUACGGGAGGCAGCAGUAGGGAAUAUUGGGCAAUGGGCGAGAGCCUGACCCAGCCAUGCCGCGUGCAGGAUGAAGGCUUUCUGAGUCGUAAACUGCUUUUACCAGGGAAAAAAAAAGGGGAUGCGUCCUCUACUGACGGUACCUGGUGAAUAAGCACCGGCUAACUCCGUGCCAGCAGCCGCGGUAAUACGGAGGGUGCAAGCGUUGUCCGGAUUUAUUGGGUUUAAAGGGUGCGUAGGCGGCUGAUUAAGUCUGGGGUGAAAGCCCGUUGCUCAACAACGGAACUGCCCUGGAAACUGGUUAGCUUGAGUACAGACGAGGGUGGCGGAAUGGAUACUGUAGCGGUGAAAUGCAUAGAUAGUAUCCAGAACCCCGAU